This 74-nucleotide small RNA is filed under the name Xanthomonas arboricola. RNAcentral describes it as "sX9 sRNA". It matches the Rfam family "Xanthomonas sRNA sX9". The record is from RNAcentral. Lineage: Bacteria; Pseudomonadati; Pseudomonadota; Gammaproteobacteria; Lysobacterales; Lysobacteraceae.
AUGACCAUUCGUAAACACAGGUUUCUGCGCGCCGCCUGCACUCGCUGACGACCGCUCGCGGCGUUUUGUUAGCC